UGGAUUGUAGCUUAAUGGUAGAGUGUCUGCCUAGCAUGCACAAGGCCUGGGCUCAGUUUCCAGCAUCUCAG
RNAcentral lists this transfer RNA (71 nucleotides) under Ictidomys tridecemlineatus (thirteen-lined ground squirrel). Its description in RNAcentral is "Spermophilus tridecemlineatus (thirteen-lined ground squirrel) tRNA". It matches the Rfam family "tRNA". Rfam says of the family: Transfer RNA (tRNA) molecules are approximately 80 nucleotides in length. The record is from Rfam by way of RNAcentral. Lineage: Eukaryota; Metazoa; Chordata; Mammalia; Rodentia; Sciuridae.